This 492-nucleotide ribosomal RNA is filed under the name uncultured bacterium. RNAcentral describes it as "partial 16S ribosomal RNA". It matches the Rfam family "Bacterial small subunit ribosomal RNA", at positions 28 to 507 of the family's 1533-position model. The record is from RNAcentral.
GAUGAACGCUAGCUACAGGCUUAACACAUGCAAGUCGAGGGGAAACGCCAUCGAAAGCUUGCUUUUGAUGGGCGUCGACCGGCGCACGGGUGAGUAACGCGUAUCCAACCUGCCCAUCACUUGGGGAUAACCUUGCGAAAGUAAGACUAAUACCCAAUGAUAUCUCUAGAAGACAUCUGAAAGAGACUAAAGAUUUAUCGGUGAUGGAUGGGGAUGCGUCUGAUUAGCUUGUUGGCGGGGUAACGGCCCACCAAGGCAACGAUCAGUAGGGGUUCUGAGAGGAAGGUCCCCGACAUUGGAACUGAGACACGGGCCAAACUCCUACGGGAGGCAGCAGUGAGGAAUAUAGGUGAAUGGGCGAGAGCCUGAACCAGCCAAGUAGCGUGCAGGAAGACGGCCCUAUGGGUUGUAAACUGCUUUUAUAAGGGAAUAAAGUGAGAGUCGUGACUCUUUUUGUAUGUACCUUAUGAAUAAGGACCGGCUAAUUCCGUG